RNAcentral lists this ribosomal RNA (466 nucleotides) under uncultured bacterium. RNAcentral describes it as "partial 16S ribosomal RNA". It matches the Rfam family "Bacterial small subunit ribosomal RNA", at positions 28 to 507 of the family's 1533-position model. The record is from RNAcentral.
GACGAACGCUGGCGGCGUGCUUAACACAUGCAAGUCGAACGGAAAGGCCCUGCUUGCCGGGUACUCGAGUGGCGAACGGGUGAGUAACACGUGGGUGAUCUGCCCUGCACUUCGGGAUAAGCUUGGGAAACUGGGUCUAAUACCGGAUAGGAACCAUCUUUAGUGUGGUGGUUGGAAAGUUUUUUCGGUGUAGGAUGAGCUCGCGGCCUAUCAGCUUGUUGGUGGGGUAAUGGCCUACCAAGGCGGCGACGGGUAGCCGGCCUGAGAGGGUGUACGGCCACAUUGGGACUGAGAUACGGCCCAGACUCCUACGGGAGGCAGCAGUGGGGAAUAUUGCACAAUGGGCGCAAGCCUGAUGCAGCGACGCCGCGUGGGGGAUGAAGGCCUUCGGGUUGUAAACUCCUUUCGCUAGGGACGAAGCGUUGUUGUGACGGUACCUAGAGAAGAAGCACCGGCUAACUACGUG